This is a non-coding RNA of Podarcis lilfordi (Lilford's wall lizard), 72 nucleotides long. NCBI's taxonomy places the organism in Eukaryota, Metazoa, Chordata, Lepidosauria, Squamata, Lacertidae. The record is from the annotation of a GenBank genome assembly.
GCCCCUGUGGCGCAAUGGGCAAUGCAUCUUGCUGUUGACCCGAAGGUUGGUGGUUCGAGCCCACCAGGGGCG